GCCUCUAUGGCGCAGUGGUAACGCGUCGCACUUGUAACCACUAGUAGCUUCAAGCUACUUCAAGCCAACAUAUGCGAAGAUCUUCAGUUCAAUUCUGAAUGGGUA
Non-coding RNA from Knufia fluminis, 105 nucleotides. Lineage: Eukaryota; Fungi; Ascomycota; Eurotiomycetes; Chaetothyriales; Trichomeriaceae. The record is from the annotation of a GenBank genome assembly.